UGGGGCGUGGUGUAACGGUAACACGUCUGGCUCUGACCCAGUUGUUCCAGGUUCGAAUCCUGGCGCCCCAACCA
RNAcentral lists this transfer RNA (74 nucleotides) under Rhodospirillales bacterium. RNAcentral describes it as "tRNA-Gln". It matches the Rfam family "tRNA". From Rfam's summary of the family: Transfer RNA (tRNA) molecules are approximately 80 nucleotides in length. Their secondary structure includes four short double-helical elements and three loops (D, anti-codon, and T loops). The record is from RNAcentral. Lineage: Bacteria; Pseudomonadati; Pseudomonadota; Alphaproteobacteria; Rhodospirillales.